GAUGAAGAACGUAGCAAAAUGCGAUAAGUAAUGUGAAUUGCAGAAUUCAGUGAAUCAUCGAAUCUUUGAACGCACAUUGCGCCCGCCAGUACUCUGGCGGGCAUGCCUGUCCGAGCGUCAUUUCAACCCUCAGGGCCCUCCAGCAGGGCGCUGGUGUUGGGGAUCGGCAGUCCCAGCGGCUGCCGUCCCUGAAAUGUAGUGGCGGUCCCACCGUGACCUCCCCUGUGCAGUACAUCGCUCGCAGAGGGACAGCGGUGCGGCCACGCCGUAAAACGCCCAACUCUUCCAGGUUGACCUCGGAUCAGGUAGGACUACCCGCUGAACUUAAGCAUAUCAAUAAGCGGAGGA
Molecule: unclassified non-coding RNA, 348 nt
Filed under: soil metagenome
Description: partial contains 5.8S ribosomal RNA, internal transcribed spacer 2, and large subunit ribosomal RNA
Rfam family: 5.8S ribosomal RNA (bases 1-120)
Source: RNAcentral